GACAGAGCUCCCAACAUGGACCAGCUGGACGACAGAGGGAGCAAGUCACAGUAUGUUGCCAUUUCCCUGCUGUUCUGUGUUGCUCUGAGUGCUGCGGUGACUCCAGCAGGCAGCCCACUCCUCCAGGAACUCUUGGCCGUGCUGCUGGAUGAGAUGAAGUAGUGGAAGGAUGUGGAAUGAGGCCCAGAUGUGAUAGAACGCCGAUUUUGAAGGACUGUGUGUGGCUGAGAGUUACCUUCUGUGACAAGUGACAACAGGCAGAAAAGAUGAAUUGGCAACAAGAAGAGUAAAGACAGGGAAGAGUGCCUCAUGACAGUAGGCAGCAGGGACACAGUGUUGGCAAGAACAACAGAACUAAUAGCAGGAAUGCAGUGGAAGGUGGGAUCAUGGAAGUCUUGCUUAGUGUGUGACAAGACCAGCUAAAAGUGAUCCUUGACUACAGAAGCAUCUUCAGCUGGCAGUUUGUUGAAUUGGAGGAGAGAUAGUAGCAGGGUGUUCACAGCUCUCAUACUAUGUGGGUGAAAAAGCCCAUCAGGAACUGUCACAGG
Molecule: long non-coding RNA, 548 nt
Organism: Scylla paramamosain (green mud crab)
Lineage: Eukaryota; Metazoa; Arthropoda; Malacostraca; Decapoda; Portunidae
Exons: 3
Source: RefSeq, a predicted model, not a curated record